RNAcentral lists this ribosomal RNA (276 nucleotides) under uncultured bacterium. RNAcentral describes it as "partial 16S ribosomal RNA". It matches the Rfam family "Bacterial small subunit ribosomal RNA", at positions 82 to 354 of the family's 1533-position model. The record is from RNAcentral.
CUCCCGCCGGCGACCGGCGCACGGGUGAGUAACACGUAUGAAACCUGCCCGUAGCAGGGGGAUAAGCGGAAGAAAUUCCGUCUAAUACCGCGUAACAACCCGAGGAGGCAUCUCCUCGGGUUUAAAGGAAGCGAUUCCGGCUACGGAUGGUCAUGCGUCGCAUUAGCUAGUUGGCGGGGUAACGGCCCACCAAGGCGAUGAUGCGUAGGGGUUCUGAGAGGAAGGUCCCCCACAUUGGUACUGAGACACGGACCAGACUCCUACGGAAGGCAGCAG